CAUCGUCAAAUAGAAAAUCACCACCGUCAAACUAAAAAUCACCAUUGGAAAACUAAAAAUCACCGCUGGAAAAAUGAAAUCCACUGUCGGAAAAUGAAAAAAUCACCACAUCACCGCCAUUUACAGAUCACCACCACCAUCUACAGACACCCAAAUAUGAAAAAUCACCAACUACAAAGCAAAAUCAGCACCAGAAAACAAAAAUCACCACUGUAAAACUAAAAAGCACCACCGUAAAAAUAAA
Molecule: long non-coding RNA, 244 nt
Filed under: Daucus carota (carrot)
Lineage: Eukaryota; Viridiplantae; Streptophyta; Magnoliopsida; Apiales; Apiaceae
Description: long non-coding RNA (DCAR_LNC006526)
Source: RNAcentral